Molecule: long non-coding RNA, 373 nt
Organism: Quercus lobata
Lineage: Eukaryota; Viridiplantae; Streptophyta; Magnoliopsida; Fagales; Fagaceae
Exons: 3
Source: RefSeq, a predicted model, not a curated record
UACAAACUACAGGGUAGAGGAAGAGAUAAUCAGGGUUUUCAUAGGAAGGGUUUUAUCAAAGAGGCUAAGAGGUAUUUUUUUUCCUUGGAGUUAAUUGAAGAGGCAGCUGAUUGUUUCAGAGCUUACGGAGGAUUAAAGUGUUCAACUGUGUUCAGAAGUAUUAGCAAGAGAGAUUAAAGUAUAGUUGGAAACAUAGAACCUCUGGGUUGUUUUGUAAGGUGCAAGGUAGAGCAUGGAAGCUGUAGGCGACUUCAGUAUGCAUUGAGGACUUAUAGAAUUUUAGCUACCUUAUUUUGUAAUUCCUGUUUUGUGGAGAUUAUUUCCCAUUUGUGGAGUUUAGACUUUUUUUUUUGUAAGAGGUUUUUAACAGUAU